GAGUGUGUGUGUGUGUGUGUGUGUGUGUGUGUGUGUGUGUGUGUGUAGGGGGACAGUUCCUGCCACACCCACACCACACCCACA
RNAcentral lists this microRNA precursor (84 nucleotides) under Erinaceus europaeus (western European hedgehog). RNAcentral describes it as "miRNA (ENSEEUG00000019374.1)". The record is from RNAcentral. Lineage: Eukaryota; Metazoa; Chordata; Mammalia; Eulipotyphla; Erinaceidae.